Molecule: long non-coding RNA, 282 nt
Organism: Suricata suricatta (meerkat)
Lineage: Eukaryota; Metazoa; Chordata; Mammalia; Carnivora; Herpestidae
Exons: 3
Source: RefSeq, a predicted model, not a curated record
GAAGUCCCAGGCAUGGAAGUCAGCAGGAUCAAAUACAUGCCCUGAGAACUACUCCAGGAUCAUUCAGGAGUUUUUGGAUGGGGAUGCAUGGCAAUACUUCUCCUUGGCACUGAGACAGGAGAUUGAAGAUUGACCUUGCCCUUCCAUUCCUGACACUUCUCGGCCUUCUAGGCAACAACAUACUGUUUAUUACAGAUGAGUCUAGGUCUCAGAGUGAGAGCUCCAUGGGACAGAGCCACCUGAACACUGACGACAAUGGCCAUGUAACAUGGAUGAGCGUGA